GUAGGCAAGAACACUGCAAAGUUGUCAGUUAAGCUGUUGCCAAGAACGUAGCAUCGCAGUAAAAGAUUAAUGAACAUUAUUCCUUCAGCACAUUAUAUCAGGAAUUCAACGUUCUGAAUACUUUGAAAUAAUGGUCCGUAUUGGAACGUUAUUCCGAACAAUUUUUCACUUGGUUUUUUCGAAACAGAUUCGUAAUCAACUUGAAACUUGAAUCAACUUGGUGGUAGUGAAAUUUCAUGAAUGGUUUAUUACAAGUGAAUGAAAAAUAACUAUAAGCUGAAGGCUGCAAAGAUUUAAUCAAAAAUAAUUGCUGGCUCAUCGAUAAACGUGGGCUUAUCGUAUUCCAUUAUUUAUUCCUCGUUAUAUCAACUGUUUAUUUCCUGACAAUUUAGCGACAGAUUUAAUCCCACCUGCUGAUCAUUAAUGAUAAAUCUUUCUUAUGAACACAGCACCGCCCGAUGAUAUUUCACAAAUAAAUGUUAAAAUUUCAUAACGAAAUUUAUUGGCUGGAAGCUAUUAUCUCGGAGUCCAGUCCAGUAUUUCAUAUUCCAUGUACUAGGACUAUUUUGCACUUGCCUCGAGUAACUUACUACCAUGUUCGCAUAUGCAACGACUCUAACAAAUAUCAUUGGGUGACUGCGAAGUCAAGCACGGCAAUCAAUUACCCGCAUUCAUUUGAUUUCAUUACUCGAACACUAGACUCGAUGCAGCGACAUGCAGAGCGUUGGAUUGCGCAACACUUGCCCUUGUCAACAAAGCGCGUUGACGCGGCGUAGCUUGUUAUAAAACGCGCACGCUUGACGAUACCGAACACUAAACGAACGACAUCGCUCCAAGCAACUCUACGCAAUGGCCUCCUUCUUGAACCUGAGUCUGAUUGCCCUGGCGGUGAUGAUGAUGGCGGCUGGCGCCAUUGCUGAUCCUGAUCCUAAACCUUUCCCUGCGCCUGGCAAAGGCAAAGGCGGGGGCAAAGGAAAGGGCAAAGGACACUGAAGAAAGGAUUGCGAACUGGCUUGAAAAAAUUGGACGUCGAUUAGAUUAGCAAAUUCUAUUUUUUUUUAUCAACGAAAAAUUAAACUUAGUGCGAAAUUAAU
Hyalella azteca is the source of this 1094-nucleotide long non-coding RNA. RefSeq lists it as uncharacterized. The transcript is spliced from 2 exons. Lineage: Eukaryota; Metazoa; Arthropoda; Malacostraca; Amphipoda; Hyalellidae. The record is from RefSeq and is a predicted model, not a curated record.